This 429-nucleotide ribosomal RNA is filed under the name Fusobacteriota bacterium. Its description in RNAcentral is "Fusobacteria bacterium partial 16S ribosomal RNA". It matches the Rfam family "Bacterial small subunit ribosomal RNA", at positions 355 to 776 of the family's 1533-position model. The record is from RNAcentral. Lineage: Bacteria; Fusobacteriati; Fusobacteriota.
UGGGGAAUAUUGCGCAAUGGGCGAAAGCCUGACGCAGCGACGCCGCGCGAGGGAUGAAGGUUUUCGGAUCGUAAACCUCUGUCAGAAGGGAAGAAACCGCACUGUGCUAAUCAGCAGUGCCUUGACGGUACCUUCAAAGGAAGCACCGGCUAACUCCGUGCCAGCAGCCGCGGUAAUACGGAGGGUGCAAGCGUUAAUCGGAAUUACUGGGCGUAAAGCGCACGUAGGCUGCUUUGUAAGUCAGGGGUAAAAUCCCACGGCUCAACCGUGGAACUGCCGUUGAUACUGCUUAGCUUGAAUCCGGGAGAGGGUGGCGGAAUUCCAGGUGUAGGAGUGAAGUCCGUAGAUAUCUAGAGGAACAUCAGUGGCGAGGGCGGCCACCUGGACCGGUAUUGACGCUGGGGUGCGAAAGCGUGGGGAGCAAACAGG